AUGCGUGUGCUUAUGGAUAGCAGCUGGAUUCAGUUCGGCCCUGCGGGACGGGGCUCAGAUGACUGGGGCACAGGCGCAUCUGCACCUCCUCAAACUGAGGACCGUCUUAAGGGCUACUGGAACGAGCUGACUUCAAACAAGGUCGAAGAGAGACCGGAGGCAACGCUGUAUGUUGUCAUAGUAAUGGGCUCCUUGCUCGUCCUUGCUGGAAUUGCCUUCUUUGUUUACAAAAGAUGUUUCAGAGGGAAGGAGAGCACAGCCAAAGUCAUAACUCUGGAUUUUGAUGACGCUGAUGGCACUGCUGAAUUUCUGUCCACUUUGGAGGAAGGAGAUGGCAUUGAAGACGGGAACGAUGGGGUUUUUCUGAUGGUUUAUCUGCCGGCCCCAUACGAGAAAACCCUCACAAAGAUAGCCCGUGCUGCAAGCACCUCCAGCUCCCAUAAUGACAUGGAGAUUGUGCAAUUACACACAGAGACAUCCACUGAUCAAGAGUGAGGAUUCAUUCCCUCUAAUGUAAAAUGUGUAUUACUGAUCCACAUAACGUAUCAACACUAACAAAAAGUACUGUACAUGAUACUACGGUAGCACAAUUGUUCUCAUUGAAGUACACAGUGUAGUGCAUGAAUAUGGCUAUCACACAGCAGUGCUAUCUAAAACCAUCACUGUACCAGGGUACCAGCACACCAGUGUUUGUAAGGGAAUGUGUUUUUUAAUCUCUAUAAUCUAUGAAACUGUAAAAAUGGCAAGUCAUAAAAUGGCUACAAAAUGAUUCACAUUUUUACUAACUUUACCAUAAUGCAGUAGUUUUGAAUUCUAGUAGUAUUAUAUAUAAUAAGGUGUGUAAACACAUAGAAAAUACAACAGUCUUGUUUGUCCGACAUGUUAAAUGCUUGUAUCUCAUUAGUUCUCUUUAUGGUAACACAAUUUUAAUGUACUUUCCAUGAGGAAUGGAGCUUUUUCCCUCCCUGAAAGUGCAAGGUAGUAGUGAUAGUUAAUAUCAGCAAAUAUGCCACAUCAUGUGUUUUGUUUUAUUAUUAAAUUCGCCUGCAAGCAAAGUGAAAUAAAGUUUGAGUUACAAUGCCA
Cyprinus carpio (common carp) is the source of this 1083-nucleotide long non-coding RNA. The record is from Ensembl. NCBI's taxonomy places the organism in Eukaryota, Metazoa, Chordata, Actinopteri, Cypriniformes, Cyprinidae.